GAAAUGCGAUAAGUAAUGUGAAUUGCAGAAUUCAGUGAAUCAUCGAAUCUUUGAACGCACAUUGCGCCCGCCAGUAUUCUGGCGGGCAUGCCUGUUCGAGCGUCAUUUCAACCCUCAAGCCCUGCUUGGUGUUGGGGUCCUACGGCUGCCGUAGGCCCUGAAAGCUAGUGGCGGGCUCGCUACAACUCCGAGCGCAGUAAUGUAUCUCGCUAGGGAAGUGUUGCGGGUUCCGGCCGUUAAACCCCCCAAUUUUACAAGGUUGACCUCGGAUCAGGUAGGAAUACCCGCUGAACUUAA
RNAcentral lists this unclassified non-coding RNA (297 nucleotides) under uncultured Ascomycota. Its description in RNAcentral is "sequence contains ITS1". The stretch from base 1 to 105 matches the Rfam family "5.8S ribosomal RNA", at positions 50 to 154 of the family's 154-position model. Lineage: Eukaryota; Fungi; Ascomycota. The record is from RNAcentral.